UGCUGCACCCUGGGACCUCUGGCCU
RNAcentral lists this microRNA (25 nucleotides) under Equus caballus (horse). RNAcentral describes it as "eca-miR-9140". Lineage: Eukaryota; Metazoa; Chordata; Mammalia; Perissodactyla; Equidae. The record is from miRBase by way of RNAcentral.